CCUGUCCCUGCGGCUCAUGGACUGAAGCACGAAUAAAGAGAGGCCACGAGGGGUGUCGCUAUUUUUGCCCUUAAACGCGACGGUAUACCGUGGUUCCGCAUUACGCGAUGGAACAGCCGACGAGAUAAUACCUGGGAAGGGAGUUCGACCCCGGUGUUCCACGGGUUUUAAAACGCUCCCUAUGGUGGUGAGACGGGGAAGGAAAGUUCGAGAGAGGAAACGGCACACGGACAGGGUGAAGAUGGCCUCGAAGGAAAGGGCCGAAUCGAUACCGCUAACUGUUUUAAACGCGGACAUACCUGGCUGGCUGACUUCACGUGGCUGUUUUCUAUGUCAACACAGCAAUAUUGAAGCAGGUCGUUCCCGCUGUUGCCACAUACGUCAGUCACAGCUCUACUGGUGGAUAAUUAACCCUGCGGUUUACAUUACGACACCUCUAUCGUCUCGCGUCACUCUGCCGCCGUUCUUUGCUGCCGUUUUUCAGAAACCGAGGACGCUAUGUACAGUGACGUUUGAAAUACCUUUGCUAGUGAUAUGAUUCCAUUCCGACUCUUGGUCAUGUUAAUUAAUUCGAGUUGUUGAGAAAUUAUGCCAGAACAUUUGUGUAAUUCGUUCGUUUGCUUUCGUGACAAAGCUUUUUGAUGCUUUAGAAUAUACAAGAAAUAAUCUGUCCUUAGCUACUUUUCUUGUAGAUUUGGUUUCACGUUUGGAAAUAAAGAUACUGUUGAUUUA
This is a long non-coding RNA of Bombus terrestris (buff-tailed bumblebee), 732 nucleotides long. RefSeq lists it as uncharacterized. The transcript has 2 exons. The record is from RefSeq and is a predicted model, not a curated record. Lineage: Eukaryota; Metazoa; Arthropoda; Insecta; Hymenoptera; Apidae.